UUUUUUCUCAGAUUUAGUGUAUCUUUAAAGGCAUGAUUUCUUUUUCGGAUAGAACCUGACCAUAUUUAUUGUCAUGCCGUUCAGAUACAUCAAGGACAUUGCUCACCUCUAAUUUGGUGAUCCUCAUAAAAUAAACAUUAGUUCGACAAAGGAGUGUCACAAAAAAUAGCCGCAAUAAGGAGAGAACGAGUAACAAAACCAUUAUAAUAUACUCCCAUAGUAAGUUUGCCCAUUGAAGAUUAACAUGAUU
This 250-nucleotide long non-coding RNA is filed under the name Hordeum vulgare. Its description in RNAcentral is "long non-coding RNA (HVUL_LNC013828)". Lineage: Eukaryota; Viridiplantae; Streptophyta; Magnoliopsida; Poales; Poaceae. The record is from RNAcentral.